GAUGAACGCUGGCUACAGGCUUAACACAUGCAAGUCGAGGGGAAACGACGGGGAAGCUUGCUUCCCCGGGCGUCGACCGGCGCACGGGUGAGUAACGCGUAUCCAACCUGCCUCUGACUGAGGGAUAACCCGUCGAAAGUCGGCCUAAUACCUCAUGGCAUCGUCUGCGGGCAUCCAACGACGAUUAAAGAUUUCAUCGGUCAGGGAUGGGGAUGCGUCUGAUUAGCUUGUUGGCGGGGUAACGGCCCACCAAGGCUACGAUCAGUAGGGGUUCUGAGAGGAAGGUCCCCCACAUUGGAACUGAGACACGGUCCAAACUCCUACGGGAGGCAGCAGUGAGGAAUAUUGGUCAAUGGGCGGGAGCCUGAACCAGCCAAGUAGCGUGCAGGAUGACAGCCCUAUGGGUUGUAAACUGCUUUUAUGCGGGGAUAAAGUGAGGGACGUGUCCUUCAUUGCAGGUACCGCAUGAAUAAGGACCGGCUAAUUCCGUG
RNAcentral lists this ribosomal RNA (491 nucleotides) under uncultured bacterium. RNAcentral describes it as "partial 16S ribosomal RNA". It matches the Rfam family "Bacterial small subunit ribosomal RNA", at positions 28 to 507 of the family's 1533-position model. The record is from RNAcentral.